This is a long non-coding RNA of Vidua chalybeata, 342 nucleotides long. RefSeq lists it as uncharacterized. NCBI's taxonomy places the organism in Eukaryota, Metazoa, Chordata, Aves, Passeriformes, Viduidae. The record is from RefSeq and is a predicted model, not a curated record. The transcript is spliced from 3 exons.
UUUCCCACUGACUGUCACAAAGGAUAACAGAGAUGUAAUAAAAAGGUCACGCAGGUGCUCCCACAGAAUAUGUUAUCAAGUCCUAGCAGUGAAGGAAUCUGCCUUCUCUCAUCUUCGAGGCUACAUCAAGGCUUCCUGCUGCCAGGCUGGGGCGAGACGUCUGCGCUCAGACGUCCUGGAGGCAGAAUGAAGGCACCCAUGAGUGAUUGAAGCCCAACCUAUGUCUGAUGAACUCAGGAUAUUCUGAGGAAUGUGUGUGCAGUGAACAGCAACAGAACAUGAGGAUGGCAUGCUGAUACAAAUUAUUGUUUUUCUAUUAAAAUAUGCCUUUUUUUACCUUCA